Molecule: long non-coding RNA, 1320 nt
Filed under: Gouania willdenowi (blunt-snouted clingfish)
Lineage: Eukaryota; Metazoa; Chordata; Actinopteri; Blenniiformes; Gobiesocidae
Description: lncRNA (ENSGWIG00000007727.1)
Source: RNAcentral
AGCUAAUGUUGGAUUUUGUUCCAGAUUCUAGGUUCCAGCUAACCUUGCAAUUUGUUGCAGAUUGUGUUCCAGCUAAGGGUGCUUUUUGUUCCCAAAUCUGUUCCAGCUAACGGUGCAUUUUGUUCCAGAUUGUGUUCCAGCUAAUGUUGCAUUUUGUUCCAGAUUGUGUUCCAGGUAACAUUGCGUUUUGUUCCAGAUUCUCUUCCAGGUAACGUUGAAUUGUUUCAGCUAACGGUGCAUUUUGUUCCAGAUUGUGUUCCAGCUGACGAUGCUUUUUGUUCCAGAUUGUGUUCCAGCUAAUGUAGCAUUUUGUUCCCAAAUCUGUUCCAGCUAACGUUGCAUUUUGUUCCAGAUUCUAUAUUCCAGCUAACGUUGCAAUUUGUUGCAGAUUGUGUUCCAGCUGACAAUGCUUUUUGUUCCAGAUUGUGUUCCAGGUAACGUUGGAUUGUGUUCCAGAAUGUGUUCCAGGUAACGUUGGAUUGUUUCAGCUAACAGUGUAUUUUGUUCCAGAUUGUGUUCCAGCUAAUGUAGCAUUUUGUUCCCAAAUCUGUUCCAGCUAACGUUGCAUUUUGUUCCCAAAUUUAUAAAAUAUAUUUUCCAGCUAGUGUUACGUUCUGUUCCAGCUAAUGUUUACGUUUUCUUACAAUUACAGCUUAUGUUAAAAAUUUCUAUUUUGCCGGCUCAUGUCAUUCUGUUCCAGCUAAAGGUAAAUAUUUAUAUUUUGCUAGCUAAUGUUAAAUCUUUAUUUUGCAGGCUAACGUUGCAAUUUGCAACAUUAGCUGGAACAGAUUUUUGAACAGUUUGUUCCAGAUUGUGUUCCAGGUAACGUUGGAUUCUGUACGUUCAAUGUUUUUAUUUUGCCAGCUAAUGUUGUAUUCUGUUCCGGCUAACAUUAAAUAUUUUUAUUUUGUUGGCUAAUGUUAAAUAUUUCUUUUCUGUUGGCUAAUGUUACAAACUGUUUUCACUUUACAGUGAAGUGAAUUUCGUUUCUGCAUUUCAACCCUUUUUCGCCUUGUAAAUGUCCAAGAUGGUGAAAAGACUUUGGGUCCUAGUGUUAGCCGUGCUGACUGCUGGUCGUCAACACAAAUCCUCUAUCCCUCUUUGACCCCAGGCCAUUGCUUACCAAAAGUGGUUUUGGAUCUACUCUGCUGUCGACAUCUCCUAUAUAUCGCUUUUUUGGCCCUUCCGACCAACACUCACUCGCACGAGGCAAUGUGGGUGAAGUUUCUUGCCCAAGGACACAAUGACAGAUACCACUCAGGUAACUGCCACCCGACUGUGGCACCUGGAAUUCUCAGUGGUAUCCCAUCCAACUACUAA